CGCGGCCUAUCAGCUUGUUGGUGAGGUAAUGGCUCACCAAGGCGACGACGGGUAGCCGGCCUGAGAGGGCGACCGGCCACACUGGGACUGAGACACGGCCCAGACUCCUACGGGAGGCAGCAGUGGGGAAUAUUGCACAAUGGGCGCAAGCCUGAUGCAGCGACGCCGCGUGAGGGAUGACGGCCUUCGGGUUGUAAACCUCUUUCAGCAGGGAAGAAGCGCAAGUGACGGUACCUGCAGAAGAAGCGCCGGCUAACUACGUGCCAGCAGCCGCGGUAAUACGUAGGGCGCAAGCGUUGUCCGGAAUUAUUGGGCGUAAAGAGCUCGUAGGCCGCUUGUCACGUCGGGUGUGAAAGCCCGGGGCUUAACCCCGGGUCUGCAUUCGAUACGGGCUAGCUAGAGUGUGGUAGGGGAGAUCGGAAUUCCUGGUGUAGCGGUGAAAUGCGCAGAUAUCAGGAGGAACACCGGUGGCGAAGGCGGAUCUCUGGGCCAUUACUGACGCUGAGGAGCGAAAGCGUGGGGAGCGAACAGGAUUAGAUACCCUGGUAGUCCACGCCGUAAACGGUGGGAACUAGGUGUUGGCGACAUUCCACGUCGUCGGUGCCGCAGCUAACGUAUUAAGUUCCCCGCCUGGGGAGUACGG
This 643-nucleotide ribosomal RNA is filed under the name uncultured Actinomycetes bacterium. RNAcentral's name for it is "bacterial SSU rRNA". It matches the Rfam family "Bacterial small subunit ribosomal RNA", at positions 232 to 885 of the family's 1533-position model. Lineage: Bacteria; Bacillati; Actinomycetota; Actinomycetes. The record is from RNAcentral.